AGAACGAACGCUGGCGGUAUGCCUAACACAUGCAAGUGAACGAGAAAGUGAUCUUCGGAUCGCGAGUAGAGUGGCGCACGGGUGAGUAACACGUGGAUAACCUGCCCUAUGGUCAGGGAUAACACUUCGAAAGGGGUGCUAAUACCUGAUAAGCCUACGACCUCCUCGGAGGAUGUAGGAAAAGAUUUAUUGCCAUAGGAUGGGUCCGCGGUCCAUUAGCUAGUUGGUGGGGUAAUGGCCUACCAAGGCUACGAUGGAUAGCUGGUCUGAGAGGAUGAUCAGCCACACUGGAACUGAGACACGGUCCAGACUCCUACGGGAGGCAGCAGUGGGGAAUUUUGCGCAAUGGACGAAAGUCUGACGCAGCAAUACCGCGUGAAGGAUGAAGGCCCUUGGGUCGUAAACUUCUGUCAGUGGGGAAGAAAUACUCGUAAGAGUGCUGACGGUACCCACAAAGGAAGCACCGGCUAACUCCGUGCCAGCAGCCGCGGUAAUACGGAGGGUGCAAGCGUUGUUCGGAAUUAUUGGGCGUAAAGAGCAUGUAGGCGGACUAUUAAGUCUGGUGUGAAAGCCCUGGGCUCAACCCAGGAAGUGCAUUGGAUACUGAUAGUCUUGAGUAUGGGAGAGGAAAGUGGAAUUCCGAGUGUAGGAGUGAAAUCCGUAGAUAUUCGGAGGAACACCAGUGGCGAAGGCGGCUUUCUGGACCAAUACUGACGCUGAGAUGCGAAAGCGUGGGGAGCGAACAGGAUUAGAUACCCUGGUAGUCCACGCCGUAAACGAUGGGUACUAGGUGUUGCGGGUAACCACUCCUGCAGUGCCGUAGCUAACGCUUUAAGUACCCCGCCUGGGGAGUACGGCCGCAAGGCUA
RNAcentral lists this ribosomal RNA (868 nucleotides) under uncultured bacterium. RNAcentral describes it as "bacterial SSU rRNA". It matches the Rfam family "Bacterial small subunit ribosomal RNA", at positions 26 to 896 of the family's 1533-position model. The record is from RNAcentral.